This 512-nucleotide ribosomal RNA is filed under the name uncultured bacterium. RNAcentral's name for it is "partial 16S ribosomal RNA". It matches the Rfam family "Bacterial small subunit ribosomal RNA", at positions 28 to 507 of the family's 1533-position model. The record is from RNAcentral.
GAUGAACGCUGGCGGCGUGCCUAAUACAUGCAAGUCGAACGAAACUUCUUUAUCACCGAGUGCUUGCACUCACCGAUAAAGAGUUGAGUGGCGAACGGGUGAGUAACACGUGGGCAACCUGCCCAAAAGAGGGGGAUAACACUUGGAAACAGGUGCUAAUACCGCAUAACCAUAGUUACCGCAUGGUAACUAUGUAAAAGGUGGCUAUACUACCGCUUUUGGAUGGGCCCGCGGCGCAUUAGCUAGUUGGUAGGGUAAAGGCUUACCAAGGCAAUGAUGCGUAGCCGAAUUGAGAGGUUGAUCGGCCACAUUGGGACUGAGACACGGCCCAAACUCCUACGGGAGGCAGCAGUAGGGAAUCUUCCACAACGGGCGAAAGCCUGAUGGAGCAACGCCGCGUGGGUGAAGAAGGUCUUCGGAUCGUAAAACCCUGUUGUUAGAGAAGAAAGUGCGUGAGAGUAACUGUUCACGUUUCGACGGUAUCUAACCAGAAAGCCACUGCUAACUACGUG